GAAGUUGACAGGCUGUUUCCUGCUCCAUGAUCUGUGAAUCACGACGUGAACGCCGAUCGCUGCUCCCCGGUGAAAUUAAAUUAGACAUAUGGCCAUUGGGAAUUUACACACCUUUGUCACUGCAGUGUACUCUGAGCAAGGAGGCAUCAAAGGGGCACAUCUGAAAGC
Molecule: non-coding RNA, 168 nt
Organism: Lonchura striata (white-rumped munia)
Lineage: Eukaryota; Metazoa; Chordata; Aves; Passeriformes; Estrildidae
Source: RefSeq, a predicted model, not a curated record